GUUCGAGCGUCAGUACAACACUCAAGCCUAGCUUGGUCUUGGGCCUCGCCGGAAACGGCGGGCCUUAAAAUCAGUGGCGGUGCAUCCGGCUCCGAGCGUAGUAAUUCUUCUCGCUCUGGAGGUCCGGUUGUGUGCUUGCCAUCAACCCCCAAUUUUUUCAGGUUGACCUCGGAUCAGGUAGGGAUACCCGCUGAACUUAA
This 200-nucleotide unclassified non-coding RNA is filed under the name soil metagenome. RNAcentral describes it as "partial contains internal transcribed spacer 2 and large subunit ribosomal RNA". The record is from RNAcentral.